GAUGAACGCUGGCGGCGUGCCUAAUACAUGCAAGUCGAGCGAACAGAUGAGGAGCUUGCUCCUCUGCCGUUAGCGGCGGACGGGUGAGUAACACGUGGAUAACCUACCUAUAAGACUGGGAUAACUUCGGGAAACCGGAGCUACUACCGGAUAAUAUAUUUAACCGCAUGGUUCAAUAGUGAAAGACGGUUUUGCUUUCACUUAUAGAUGGAUCCGCGCCGCAUUAGCUAGUUGGUAAGGUAACGGCUUACCAAGGCAACGAUGCUUAGCCUACCUGAGAGGGUGAUCGGCCACACUGGAACUGAGACACGGUCCAGACUCCUACGGGAGGCAGCAGUAGGGAAUCUUCCGCAAUGGGCGAAAGCCUGACGGAACAACGCCGCGUGAGUGAUGAAGGUCUUCGGAUCGUAAAACUCUGUUAUUAGGGAAGAACAAAUGUGUAAGUAACUAUGCACGUCUUGACGGUACCUAAUCAGAAAGCCACGGCUAACUACGUG
Molecule: ribosomal RNA, 497 nt
Filed under: uncultured bacterium
Lineage: Bacteria
Description: partial 16S ribosomal RNA
Rfam family: Bacterial small subunit ribosomal RNA
Source: RNAcentral